Molecule: non-coding RNA, 495 nt
Organism: Gallus gallus (chicken)
Lineage: Eukaryota; Metazoa; Chordata; Aves; Galliformes; Phasianidae
Source: the annotation of a RefSeq genome assembly
CGGCUCCAUGAGGCCAUGUCGCGGCGGCUCCGUCAGCGCUCUCUGUCCUUCCCCACAGGGCUGAUGGCGGCCGUGACGUUGGACGAGUCCGGGGGCGGCCUCCAGACGCCCGGAGGAGCGCUCAGCCUCGUCUGCAAGGCCUCCGGGUUCACCUUCAGCAGUUACAGCAUGGGUUGGGUGCGACAGGCGCCCGGCAAAGGGCUGGAAUGGGUCGCUGGUAUUGAUGAUGAUGGUAGUUUCACAGCAUACGGGUCGGCGGUGAAGGGCCGUGCCACCAUCUCGAGGGACAACGGGCAGAGCACAGUGAGGCUGCAGCUGAACAACCUCAGGGCUGAGGACACCGGCACCUACUACUGCGCCAAAAGUGCUGGUGGUAGUUGGAGUGCUGCUGUUCCACGUGCGGAACACGUCCCCCCCCACAUGGGGACACGAACUCAUCUGCAUCUGGGAAGGUUCCCCCCGGGAUGCAGAGCUCUGUGAUGGGGGCAGUGAAGU